This 352-nucleotide ribosomal RNA is filed under the name Pseudomonas aeruginosa. RNAcentral describes it as "bacterial SSU rRNA". It matches the Rfam family "Bacterial small subunit ribosomal RNA", at positions 62 to 418 of the family's 1533-position model. The record is from RNAcentral. Lineage: Bacteria; Pseudomonadati; Pseudomonadota; Gammaproteobacteria; Pseudomonadales; Pseudomonadaceae.
CCCAGCGAGAAGGGAGCUUGCUCCUGGAUUCAGCGGCGGACGGGUGAGUAAUGCCUAGGAAUCUGCCUGGUAGUGGGGGAUAACGUCCGGAAACGGGCGCUAAUACCGCAUACGUCCUGAGGGAGAAAGUGGGGGAUCUUCGGACCUCACGCUAUCAGAUGAGCCUAGGUCGGAUUAGCUAGUUGGUGGGGUAAAGGCCUACCAAGGCGACGAUCCGUAACUGGUCUGAGAGGAUGAUCAGUCACACUGGAACUGAGACACGGUCCAGACUCCUACGGGAGGCAGCAGUGGGGAAUAUUGGACAAUGGGCGAAAGCCUGAUCCAGCCAUGCCGCGUGUGUGAAGAAGGUCUU